UUGAACGCUGGCGGCAGGCCUAACACAUGCAAGUCGAGCGGAGGUAGCAAUACCUUAGCGGCGGACGGGUGAGGAAUGCAUCGGAACGUGCCGAGUCGUGGGGGAUAACGCAGGGAAACUUGCGCUAAUACCGCAUACGCCCCGAGGGGGAAAGUGGGGGACCGCAAGGCCUCACGCGAUUUGAGCGGCCGAUGCCCGAUUAGCUAGUUGGUGAGGUAAAGGCUCACCAAGGCGACGAUCGGUAGCUGGUCUGAGAGGAUGAUCAGCCACACUGGAACUGAGACACGGUCCAGACUCCUACGGGAGGCAGCAGUGGGGAAUAUUGGACAAUGGGGGCAACCCUGAUCCAGCCAUGCCGCGUGAGUGAAGAAGGCCUUCGGGUUGUAAAGCUCUUUAAGCGGGGAGGAAGGUUCGUAACUUAAUACGUUGCGGAAUUGACGUUACCUGCAGAAUAAGCACCGGCUAACUCUGU
This 472-nucleotide ribosomal RNA is filed under the name uncultured bacterium. RNAcentral's name for it is "bacterial SSU rRNA". It matches the Rfam family "Bacterial small subunit ribosomal RNA", at positions 29 to 506 of the family's 1533-position model. The record is from RNAcentral.